Molecule: ribosomal RNA, 360 nt
Filed under: Eleutherodactylus eunaster
Lineage: Eukaryota; Metazoa; Chordata; Amphibia; Anura; Eleutherodactylidae
Description: partial 12S ribosomal RNA
Rfam family: Bacterial small subunit ribosomal RNA
Source: RNAcentral
GUCCGGGAAUUACGAGCAAAGCUUAAAACCCAAAGGACUUGACGGUACCCCAUAUCCCCCUAGAGGAGCCUGUCCUAUAAUCGAUAAUCCCCGUUCAACCUCACCAUAUCUAGCUUUUUCAGCCUGUAUACUUCCGUCGUCAGCCUACCACGUGAGCGAUACCUAGUUAGCCUAAUGUCCACACAUUAAUGUGCUCAUAUCGUCAAUACGUCAGGUCAAAGUGCAGCAAAUGCUAUGGGAAGAGAUGGGCUACACUUUUUAAUAUAAAAGAAACGAAAAACAAAUGAAACUUUGUCAUAAGGUGGAUUUAGAAGUAAAAGAAAAACAUUAAGUUCCUUUUAACCCGGCACUGGGGUGUGU